Coturnix japonica (Japanese quail) is the source of this 329-nucleotide non-coding RNA. The record is from RefSeq and is a predicted model, not a curated record. NCBI's taxonomy places the organism in Eukaryota, Metazoa, Chordata, Aves, Galliformes, Phasianidae.
ACACCCUGGGCCUUUUCCACCACGGAGCUCCAAGCAAAGAGAAAGAAGACAACGACAAAAAGAAAGGAGAAGGGAAUUGAAAAAGGCUUCUCAGAGAGCUGCACAUAUAGAGUUCUCUGCAGCGAUGAACAGCCUUGCAGAGAUGAUGCAGAAGCUGCAGCUGAAAGACUGAGAGGAGAAACAUCACAAGGCAGCGGCUGCAGUGCGCGGUGUUUCAGUUGCUGCCCAACUCAGUACUUGUAGUUUGAUUGCAGUCAAUCAAUAAACCAUCACAAUUAGAGAUUCACAAAGAGCGCACAGCCUGAUUUGUCCAGUGACACUCCAUGAGC